GCUUUAAUACAUGCAAGUCGAGCGAGAAAGUUUCUUCGGAAAUUAGUAAAGCGGCGAACGGGUGAGUAACGCGUAGGAAUCUACCAUUCAGCGGGGGAUAGCUCGAGGAAACUCGAAUUAAUACCGCAUACACCCUACGGGGGAAAGAAGGCCUAUCCUUGGAAGCUUUCACUGUUUGAUGAGCCUGCGUGAGAUUAGUUUGUUGGUGAGGUAAUGGCUCACCAAGACUACGAUCUCUAGCUGGUCUGAGAGGACGAUCAGCCACACUGGGACUGAGACACGGCCCAGACUCCUACGGGAGGCAGCAGUAGAGAAUAUUGGACAAUGGGGGCAACCCUGAUCCAGGCAUGCCGCGUGUGUGAAGAAGGCCUUAGGGUUGUAAAGCACUUUAGGUAAGGAAGAAAAGUUAAUAGUUAAUACCUGUUGACCGUGACAUUACUUACAGAAUAAGGACCGGCUAACUCCGUGCCAGCAGCCGCGGUAAUACGGAGGGUCCAAGCGUUAAUCGGAAUUACUGGGCGUAAAGCGCGCGUAGGCGGUAUGCUAAGUUGGGUGUGAAAUCCCCGGGCUUAACCUGGGAACUGCAUUCAAAACUUGCAUACUGGAGUACGGAAGAGGCGAGUAGAAUUCAUGGUGUAGCGGUGAAAUGCGUAGAUAUCAUGAGGAAUACCAAUGGCGAAGGCAACUCGCUGGUCCGUAACUGACGCUGAGGUGCGAAAGCGUGGGUAGCAAACAGGAUUAGAUACCCUGGUAGUCCACGCCGUAAACGAUGAGAACUAGCCGUUGGAUCCUUGAGAUUCAGUGGCACAGCUAACGCAUUAAGUU
This 825-nucleotide ribosomal RNA is filed under the name uncultured Gammaproteobacteria bacterium. Its description in RNAcentral is "bacterial SSU rRNA". It matches the Rfam family "Bacterial small subunit ribosomal RNA", at positions 45 to 866 of the family's 1533-position model. The record is from RNAcentral. Lineage: Bacteria; Pseudomonadati; Pseudomonadota; Gammaproteobacteria.